GAUAAAAUGGCUGAGGGUUAAGCGGUAAAUUGUAAAUUUAUUAACGAAAUUUAAUUUUCUUUUGUCA
This 67-nucleotide transfer RNA is filed under the name Trichius succinctus. Its description in RNAcentral is "tRNA-Tyr". It matches the Rfam family "tRNA". From Rfam's summary of the family: Transfer RNA (tRNA) molecules are approximately 80 nucleotides in length. The record is from RNAcentral. Lineage: Eukaryota; Metazoa; Arthropoda; Insecta; Coleoptera; Scarabaeidae.